AAGGGAGACCUAAUUCAGGUAGGAGACGAAAAAAAAGUAGUCCCUACCAAGAAUCAAUCCCAAAAGGUCGGAGCGAGGCAAAAUUGGCUUCCAAACUAGGUUCUGGGUUCACACAAGACCUGAAUCAGGAACAAGGGCUAUUAGCUCAGGUGGUUAGAGCGCACCCCUGAUAAGGGUGAGGUCCCUGGUUCGAGUCCAGGAUGGCCCACCUGUACAGGUGGCAAAAACAAAGAAAAGAAGCGAGGAAUCAGCACCUUAUCUUACUUAUAUAGUAAGAGAGAAUGCUGGCUCUGAGUUCAGAGUCCAGAGGAACCUUGAAAACUGCAUAGAGCUAGGUGAAAAAGCCAAAAAAGAAGACCACAA
RNAcentral lists this transfer RNA (363 nucleotides) under uncultured Microcystis sp. RNAcentral's name for it is "partial 16S-23S ribosomal RNA intergenic spacer". The stretch from base 135 to 208 matches the Rfam family "tRNA". Lineage: Bacteria; Bacillati; Cyanobacteriota; Cyanophyceae; Chroococcales; Microcystaceae. The record is from RNAcentral.